Molecule: ribosomal RNA, 168 nt
Filed under: Ostorhinchus fasciatus (broadband cardinalfish)
Lineage: Eukaryota; Metazoa; Chordata; Actinopteri; Kurtiformes; Apogonidae
Description: partial small subunit ribosomal RNA
Source: RNAcentral
CACCGCGGUUAUACGAGAGGCCCAAGCUGACAGUUACCGGCGUAAAGAGGGGUUAAUUAUUCUCUACACUAAAGCCGAACAUCUCCAAAGUUGUUUAAUGCACUCGAAGACAUGAAGACCAACUACGAAAGUGGCUUUACACUCUUUGAACCCACGAAAGCUAGGGAA